AUAAAGAACCGUGUCCAGUAAACCAUUACCAGGAUGAAGUAGGCAAGGCCUAUUGUAAGUUGUGUCCAGCUGGGUCUAUCUGUGAUGGGGAGGGGAGAACCUCCCUGUGCUUGGGACAGGUGUGUGGAUGUGGGGAUGAUGGCUGUAUUUUCCCUCCGCAAAAUUGCGAUAGUGUACAAAAAUGCCAUGAAGGACGGGGUUCUUAUUGUCCAUUUGGCUACAAGAUGGAUUGGGGUAGCUGCAUUCCAUGUUUCCUUCACAGGGAAUGUAGAGAUAGCCGUGGCAUUGGCCAUGCUUGCCAUGUUGGUUACUGGUGUGGAUAUAGUGGGGAAACAGCUUCUAUACUAAGGGAACCUUGCCUUGAGUUUGAAAGGCUUACCUGUAUAAAUGGUCAUUUGCAUUACUGUUCUAUAGGGACAUACAAAGAUGAUCAGGGCAAUUGUGUUGCCUGCCCCGCUGGCUAUGCCUGUCAUUUUAUAGGCAGUAAGCCUAUA
This is a long non-coding RNA of Mya arenaria, 494 nucleotides long. RefSeq lists it as uncharacterized. The record is from RefSeq and is a predicted model, not a curated record. NCBI's taxonomy places the organism in Eukaryota, Metazoa, Mollusca, Bivalvia, Myida, Myidae. The transcript is spliced from 3 exons.